RNAcentral lists this ribosomal RNA (1346 nucleotides) under uncultured bacterium. Its description in RNAcentral is "partial 16S ribosomal RNA". It matches the Rfam family "Bacterial small subunit ribosomal RNA", at positions 28 to 1381 of the family's 1533-position model. The record is from RNAcentral.
GACGAACGCUGGCGGCGUGCUUAACACAUGCAAGUCGAACGGAAAGGCCCUGCUUUUGUGGGGUGCUCGAGUGGCGAACGGGUGAGUAACACGUGAGUAACCUGCCCUUGACUUUGGGAUGACUUCAGGAAACUGGGGCUAAUACCGGAUAGGAGCUCCUGCUGCAUGGUGGGGGUUGGAAAGUUUCGGCGGUUGGGGAUGGACUCGCGGCUUAUCAGCUUGUUGGUGGGGUAGUGGCUUACCAAGGCUUUGACGGGUAGCCGGCCUGAGAGGGUGACCGGCCACAUUGGGACUGAGAUACGGCCCAGACUCCUACGGGAGGCAGCAGUGGGGAAUAUUGCACAAUGGGCGGAAGCCUGAUGCAGCAACGCCGCGUGCGGGAUGACGGCCUUCGGGUUGUAAACCGCUUUCGCCUGUGACGAAGCGUGAGUGACGGUAAUGGGUAAAGAAGCACCGGCUAACUACGUGCCAGCAGCCGCGGUGAUACGUAGGGUGCGAGCGUUGUCCGGAUUUAUUGGGCGUAAAGGGCUCGUAGGUGGUUGAUCGCGUCGGAAGUGUAAUCUUGGGGCUUAACCCUGAGCGUGCUUUCGAUACGGGUUGACUUGAGGAAGGUAGGGGAGAAUGGAAUUCCUGGUGGAGCGGUGGAAUGCGCAGAUAUCAGGAGGAACACCAGUGGCGAAGGCGGUUCUCUGGGCCUUUCCUGACGCUGAGGAGCGAAAGCGUGGGGAGCGAACAGGCUUAGAUACCCUGGUAGUCCACGCUGUAAACGGUGGGUACUAGGUGUGGGGUCCAUUCCACGGGUUCCGUGCCGUAGCUAACGCUUUAAGUACCCCGCCUGGGGAGUACGGCCGCAAGGCUAAAACUCAAAGGAAUUGACGGGGCCCCGCACAAGCGGCGGAGCAUGCGGAUUAAUUCGAUGCAACGCGUAGAACCUUACCUGGGUUUGACAUGGAUCGGGAGUGCUCAGAGAUGGGUGUGCCUCUUUUGGGGUCGGUUCACAGGUGGUGCAUGGCUGUCGUCAUCUCGUGUCGUGAGAUGUUGGGUUAAGUCCCGCAACGAGCGCAACCCUUGUUCACUGUUGCCAGCACGUUAUGGUGGGGACUCAGUGGAGACCGCCGGGGUCAACUCGGAGGAAGGUGGGGAUGACGUCAAGUCAUCAUGCCCCUUAUGUCCAGGGCUUCACGCAUGCUACAAUGGCUGGUACAGAGAGUGGCGAGCCUGUGAGGGUGAGCGAAUCUCGGAAAGCCGGUCUCAGUUCGGAUUGGGGUCUGCAACUCGACCUCAUGAAGUCGGAGUCGCUAGUAAUCGCAGAUCAGCAACGCUGCGGUGAAUACGUCCCCGGGGCU